GGAGAGGUGCGAGAGCGGUUGAAUCGGCUUGACUCGAAAUCAAGAGUAGGUGCAAGCCUACCGUGGGUUCGAAUCCCACCCUCUCCGCCA
Molecule: transfer RNA, 90 nt
Filed under: Pseudomonadales bacterium
Lineage: Bacteria; Pseudomonadati; Pseudomonadota; Gammaproteobacteria; Pseudomonadales
Also listed under: 1 other name
Description: tRNA-Ser
Rfam family: tRNA
About the family: Transfer RNA (tRNA) molecules are approximately 80 nucleotides in length.
Source: RNAcentral